This 880-nucleotide long non-coding RNA is filed under the name Canis lupus dingo (dingo). Its description in RNAcentral is "lncRNA (ENSCAFG00020003170.1)". The record is from RNAcentral. Lineage: Eukaryota; Metazoa; Chordata; Mammalia; Carnivora; Canidae.
AGAGUAUACUAUAUUCUGUGUUUUCAAAACUUAAUAUGCUGAAACUUGCUUGAGUUUAUUAUGCCUAACCAUUUUGUUUGUUCUUUGAAUUUUAUAAGCAUUCAAUUAAAUUACUGAUAUAAUUCUGAGAAACCAUACCCUGCUAUUUUUUGGAAGCGCAAAAAAAAAACACACAUUUAUUUAUGCAUUAGUCUAACACAGUUAAACUCUCUUCCUCUCUUAUCUAGUAGCAGAGAAGCAGCUCUCCUUGUUUCCCUGGCAAGCCACAAGACCUAUAUGAAGAAAAAGAUGUUCCUUCAUCUUCUUACAAUACGGAAACAAUGAAAUAUUCUAUAUUAAAAAUGGACCCUCCAUUUUUCUCCAGUUCUAAAAGUUCACUUUUGACCAUUUUCCAAAUGUAAAAACUUGCACACGAAGAACUGUUUCAGAAGUUUGUAAGAAAGCCAAGGUAACAGUUUCUAUUAUUAAAAGUUUUGCAUUUCGUAUGACCAUUUAUCAUAUUGAAACACACCCAGUUAAAUGUUGACUUCUGAAAAAUUAUUUGCCUUGCUUGACUCAGUUUUAUCUCUAAAUUAUGAAUACGUUGAGGUUUCUACCAUUAUGUAAUCUAAAUCGUUACUAUACCUUUGUUUGUGAAAACUCACCCAUAUUUAGACUGUUAAACUUCAGGUAAGUUAAAUUCUUGCCCUCACACUCUUCUGCUAAGUAUUCCUAUGGUUUUCCAACUCAUCAGAGCCAAGUUCUGAAGCCUGAAUAUAUCAUACAUUGUUACUUCUAAUUGGUUUUAAUGUUUAUUAUGCUCCUCACAAGUGCAGAUUAACUUCACAUUUGCAUCACUAAUAGACCUCUUGCUGAGCCUCAGCUCCUUCUACUUCCUGCC